GCGCCCGUAGCUCAGUUGGAUAGAGCAACGGACUUCUAAUCCGUAGGUCGCAGGUUCGAAUCCUGCCGGGCGCG
This 74-nucleotide transfer RNA is filed under the name bacterium. RNAcentral's name for it is "tRNA-Arg". It matches the Rfam family "tRNA". Rfam says of the family: Transfer RNA (tRNA) molecules are approximately 80 nucleotides in length. Their secondary structure includes four short double-helical elements and three loops (D, anti-codon, and T loops). RNAcentral also lists the same sequence under 5 other names. The record is from RNAcentral.